CCUACGGGUGGCAGCAGUGGGGAAUAUUGCACAAUGGGGGAAACCCUGAUGCAGCGACGCCGCGUGAGUGAAGAAGUAAUUCGUUAUGUAAAGCUCUAUCAGCAGGGAAGAAAAUGACGGUACCUGAGUAAGAAGCCCCGGCUAACUACGUGCCAGCAGCCGCGGGACUAAGGAGGGGGCAAGCGUUAUCCGGAUUUACUGGGUGUAAAGGGGGCGUAGACGGCAGUGCAAGUCUGGAGGGAAAGGCGGGGGCUCAACCCCCGGACUGCUCUGGAAACUGUACGGCUGGAGUGCAGGAGAGGUAAGUGGAAUUCCUGGUGUAGCGGUGAAAUGCGUAGAUAUUAGGAGGAACCCCAGUGGCGAAGGCGGCUUACUGGACUGUAACUGACGUUGAGGCUCGAAAGCGUGGGGAGCAAACAGGAUUAGAUACCCCAGUAGUC
This 440-nucleotide ribosomal RNA is filed under the name uncultured bacterium. Its description in RNAcentral is "partial 16S ribosomal RNA". It matches the Rfam family "Bacterial small subunit ribosomal RNA", at positions 338 to 795 of the family's 1533-position model. The record is from RNAcentral.